This 1692-nucleotide ribosomal RNA is filed under the name Hemibarbus labeo (barbel steed). RNAcentral's name for it is "16S ribosomal RNA". It matches the Rfam family "Bacterial large subunit ribosomal RNA". Lineage: Eukaryota; Metazoa; Chordata; Actinopteri; Cypriniformes; Gobionidae. The record is from RNAcentral.
GCUAAACAGCUAGCUUAAUCACCAAUAUAAUUCAACAAUGUUCAUAACAAGACAUAACCCCGCACCAAAAACUAAACCAUUUUUUUACCUGAGUAUGGGAGACAGAAAAGGUUCUACCCCAAAGCAAUAGAAAAAGUACCGCAAGGGAAAGCUGAAAGAGAAAUGAAAUAACCCAUAUAAGCACUAAAAAACAAAGACUAAACCUUGUACCUUUUGCAUCAUGAUUUAGCCAGUACCCUCAAGCAAAGAGUCCUUUAGUUUGACACCCCGAAACCAGGUGAGCUACCCCGAGACAGCCUAUAUAAUUUAGGGCUAACCCGUCUCUGUGGCAAAAGAGUGGGAAGAGCUCCGGGUAGAAGUGACAGACCUACCGAACCUGGUGAUAGCUGGUUGCCUAAGAAAUGGAUAGAAGUUCAGCCCCGCACGCCCCAAACCAAAAAUUUCCUACCUUAAGGUAUUUUAAGGGUAAUAUGCGGGAGUUAGUCAGAGGGGGUACAGCCCCUCUAACAAAGGAUACAACCUUCACAGGAGGAUAAAGAUCACAAUAUACAAAACCUACCGUUCUAGUGGGCCUAAAAGCAGCCAUCUAAGCAGAAAGCGUUAAAGCUCAGACAGAAAAAAGUUUAUUAUACCGAUAAAUAAUCUUACUCCCCUAACUAUAUUAGGCUAACCCAUGCCCACAUGGAAGAAAUUAUGCUAAAAUGAGUAACAAGAAGACCUGUUCUUCUCCUAACACAAGUGUAAGCCAGAUCGGACAAGCCGCUGGAAAUUAACGAACCCAACCAAAGAGAGUGAUGUGGACAAUAGAAAAACCAAGAAAACCCCACAACUGAACAUCGUUAACCCCACACUGGAGUGUUAUUUAAAAGGAAAGACUAAAAGAAAGGGAAGGAACUCGGCAAACACAAGCCUCGCCUGUUUACCAAAAACAUCGCCUCCUGCAACUAAACCAAGUAUAGGAGGUCCAGCCUGCCCAGUGACUACGGGUUCAACGGCCGCGGUAUUUUGACCGUGCAAAGGUAGCGCAAUCACUUGUCUUUUAAAUAGAGACCUGUAUGAAUGGCUAAACGAGGGCUUAGCUGUCUCCCCCUUCCAGUCAGUGAAAUUGAUCUAUCCGUGCAGAAGCGGGUAUAAAUAUACAAGACGAGAAGACCCUUUGGAGCUUAAGGUACAAAACUUAACCACGUAAAACGACUCAAUAAAAAGCAAGAACUUAGUGGAAAGUAAGAAUUUACCUUCGGUUGGGGCGACCACGGAGGAAAAACCAGCCUCCGCGUGGAACGGGCCAAACCCCUAAAGCCAAGAGAAACAUCUCCAAGCCACAGAACAUCUGACCAUAAAUGAUCCGGCUAUGCAGCCGAUCAACGAACCAAGUUACCCUAGGGAUAACAGCGCAAUCCUCUCCCAGAGUCCAUAUCGACGAGGGGGUUUACGACCUCGAUGUUGGAUCAGGACAUCCUAAUGGUGCAGCCGCUAUUAAGGGUUCGUUUGUUCAACGAUUAAAGUCCUACGUGAUCUGAGUUCAGACCGGAGCAAUCCAGGUCAGUUUCUAUCUGUAAUGCUACUUUUCCUAGUACGAAAGGAUCGGAAAAGGGGGGCCCAUACUUGAAGCACGCCCCACCCCUAAUUAAUGAAAACAAAUAAAUUAAAUAAAGGGAGGGCUAAAACCCCUGCCAGCCAAAAUAAGGACAU